GAUGAACGCUGGCGGCGUGCCUAAUACAUGCAAGUCGAGCGAACAGACGAGGAGCUUGCUCCUCUUACGUUAGCGGCGGACGGGUGAGUAACACGUGAAUAACCUACCUAUAAGACUGGGAUAACUUCGGGAAACCGGAGCUAAUACCGGAUAAUAUAUUGAACCGCAUGGUUCAAUAGUGAAAGACGGUUUUGCUGUCACUUAUAGAUGGAUCCGCGCCGCAUUAGCUAGUUGGUAAGGUAACGGCUUACCAAGGCGACGAUGCGUAGCCGACCUGAGAGGGUGAUCGGCCACACUGGAACUGAGACACGGUCAAGACUCCUACGGGAGGCAGCAGUAGGGAAUCUUCCGCAAUGGGCGAAAGCCUGACGGAGCAACGCCGCGUGAGUGAUGAAGGUCUUCGGAUCGUAAAACUCUGUUAUUAGGGAAGAACAAAUGUGUAAGUAACUAUGCACGUCUUGACGGUACCUAAUCAGAAAGCCACGGCUAACUACGUG
RNAcentral lists this ribosomal RNA (497 nucleotides) under uncultured bacterium. Its description in RNAcentral is "partial 16S ribosomal RNA". It matches the Rfam family "Bacterial small subunit ribosomal RNA", at positions 28 to 507 of the family's 1533-position model. The record is from RNAcentral.